CCUACGGGAGGCUGCAGUGAGGAAUAUUGGUCAAUGGGCGAGAGCCUGAACCAGCCAAGUCGCGUGAGGGAGUACUGCCCUAUGGGUUGUAAACCUCUUUUGUCGGGGAGCAAAAGCCGGACGUGUCCGGCUGUGAGAUUACCCGAAGAAAAAGCAUCGGCUAACUCCGUGCCAGCAGCCGCGGUAAUAGGGAGGAGGCGAGCGUUAUCCGGAUUUAUGGGGUUUAAAGGGUGCGCAGGCGGAUUUUUAAGUCAGCGGUCAAAUCGUGGGGUUCAACCCCAUCCAGCCGUUGACACUGGGGAUCUAGAGUGUGCGAGAGGUAUGCGGAAUGCGUGGUGUAGCGGUGAAAUGCAUAGAUAUCACGCAGAACCCCGAUAGCGAAGGCAGCAUACCGGUGCACAACUGACGCUCAGGCACGAAAGCGUGGGUAUCGAACAGGAUUAGAUACCCGAGUAGUC
This 458-nucleotide ribosomal RNA is filed under the name uncultured bacterium. RNAcentral's name for it is "partial 16S ribosomal RNA". It matches the Rfam family "Bacterial small subunit ribosomal RNA", at positions 338 to 795 of the family's 1533-position model. The record is from RNAcentral.